This 510-nucleotide ribosomal RNA is filed under the name Tetrastemmatidae sp. MCZ IZ 132537. RNAcentral describes it as "partial 16S ribosomal RNA". It matches the Rfam family "Bacterial large subunit ribosomal RNA", at positions 1767 to 2597 of the family's 2925-position model. The record is from RNAcentral. Lineage: Eukaryota; Metazoa; Nemertea; Enopla; Monostilifera; Tetrastemmatidae.
AGCUUGUUGAUUUUUAAUAAUAAGUAUUUCGCCUGUUUAUCAAAAACAUAGUUUUUUGGAUUUUCAUAAAAAAUAUUUUCUGCUCGGUGUUUUAUUAACAGCCGCGGUAAUUUGACCGUGCAAAGGUAGCAUAAUCAUUUGCUUUAUAAUUGAGGGCUUGAAUGAAUGGAGUAACAAGAUAUUUUCUUUAUUUAAAAGAUGUUAAAAAUUUGUUUUCUUAGUGAAGAUUCUAAGAUUUAUUUAUGGGACAAGAAGACCCUUUUGAGCUUUAUUAUUUUUACAGUUAUGUACUUUAAUAUAAUUUGGUUGGGGUGACCAAGGAAGUUUUUAUCUUCCUUUAUUUUAAUGAUCCAGGGUUUUUGAGUUUUGGAUUAAGCUACCAUAGGGAUAACAGCGUAAUUUUUUUUAGAAGUUCUUAUUUAAAAAAAAGAUUGCGACCUCGAUGUUGACUUAUAGUUUCCUUUUGGUGUAGCAGCUAGAAUGGUGGGUCUGUUCGACCUUUAAAACUUU